CCUACGGGCGGCAGCAGUGGGGAAUAUUGGACAAUGGGCGAAAGCCUGAUCCAGCCAUGCCGCGUGUGUGAAGAAGGCCUUCGGGUUGUAAAGCACUUUCAGUGGGGAAGAAAGCCUUGGGGCUAAUACCCUCGAGGAAGGACAUCACCCACAGAAGAAGCACCGGCUAACUCCGUGCCAGCAGCCGCGGUAAUACGGAGGGUGCGAGCGUUAAUCGGAAUUACUGGGCGUAAAGCGCGCGUAGGCGGUCUGAUAAGCCGGUUGUGAAAGCCCCGGGUUCAACCUGGGAACGGCAUCCGGAACUGUCAGGCUAGAGUGCAGGAGAGGAAGGUAGAAUUCCCGGUGUAGCGGUGAAAUGCGUAGAGAUCGGGAGGAAUACCAGUGGCGAAGGCGGCCUUCUGGACUGACACUGACGCUGAGGUGCGAAAGCGUGGGUAGCAAACAGGAUUAGAUACCCCAGUAGUC
This 465-nucleotide ribosomal RNA is filed under the name Vreelandella stevensii. RNAcentral describes it as "partial 16S ribosomal RNA". It matches the Rfam family "Bacterial small subunit ribosomal RNA", at positions 338 to 795 of the family's 1533-position model. The record is from RNAcentral. Lineage: Bacteria; Pseudomonadati; Pseudomonadota; Gammaproteobacteria; Oceanospirillales; Halomonadaceae.